GGAUGUGAGGGCGAUCUGGCUGCGACAUCUGUCACCCCAUUGAUUGCCAGGUUUGAUUCGGCUGAUCUGGCUGGCUAGGCAGGUGUCCCCUUCCUCCCUCACCGCUCCAUGUGUGUCCCUCCGGAAGCUGUGCACUAGGUCGAAGAGGACGGCCUUCCCCGAAUAGAGACGGACUGGUCUUUGGUCAAGGGUAUACGAGUAGCUGCGCUCCCCUGCUAGAACCUCCAAACAAGCUCUCAAGGAAUAGAAAACUGGAUCAGGGCAGAGAGUAGCUUUCAAAUAUGGGAAAAGUAUAUAAAUACCAUUAACUAU
This is an unclassified non-coding RNA of Erinaceus europaeus (western European hedgehog), 312 nucleotides long. Its record names the gene 7SK. It matches the Rfam family "7SK RNA". Rfam says of the family: 7SK was discovered as an abundant small nuclear RNA in the mid-70s but a possible function has only recently been suggested. Lineage: Eukaryota; Metazoa; Chordata; Mammalia; Eulipotyphla; Erinaceidae. The record is from Ensembl.